This is a long non-coding RNA of Cucumis melo (muskmelon), 1337 nucleotides long. RefSeq lists it as uncharacterized. NCBI's taxonomy places the organism in Eukaryota, Viridiplantae, Streptophyta, Magnoliopsida, Cucurbitales, Cucurbitaceae. The transcript is spliced from 2 exons. The record is from RefSeq and is a predicted model, not a curated record.
AAGAUAUUUAAUUGAUACCAAAUGCAUAAGGGGUUCUUAAAAAAAACAGAAAAAUAAUGCACUCAAGUUAGUUGUUAGGUCUAUAAAUAGAGAGAGUUAAAAGAUCACGGAGAUCCAGUCAAGAGAGAGAGAGAAAGCAAAGAAAGAGAGAAAAAAAAAAUGGAGUGGAAAAAAGUUGCUUUAGUUGCAGUAAUGGGGAUGUUGGUUAUGGCUACUUUUACAGAGUCGGUCGGUUUGGGGGUGGAUGAGGAGAUCAUUCAAUUAGUUUCGGACGGAGUGAAUGAGUACUCACAAAAUAUUGGAAAGAAAAAUGUAGGCUGCCCUCGAAUCCUUAUGAAGUGUAAAACCGAUCGCGAUUGCUUAACUGGCUGCACUUGCAAACGGAACGGCUAUUGUGGUUGACUCUUGGCUGUGUCGUCUCGUAUCAGCUUCUACGGUGUCUUUGUUAGUGUGUUUUCUAUUUUGUGAUAAUAAUAACGCAUGGUUGUUGUGUGUCUUUGUCAUAGAUCACUUUACACUCGUAUCUAUGAGUUAGUGUGAUCAUAUCCGUGGCAAUAUGUGAUAUCCCAUCUAGCUGUUUCGUGUAAUAUUAUUAUGUUUUCUAUGUCACUAUGGUCUUUCAGGAUAUCUUCACCAUCUUCUUUCAUGAAUUUAAAGUUUCAUUUUUCUAACCAUUAAACACUCAAAUAUGAAAAAUCUGUAAGAAAUUGAAAUUUAUUCAUCUUGAAGAGUGUAGCUUCAAGAAUAAAGAAAAUUUCCCCUUUCCGCGGAUGUAGGUCGUCGAUUGCCGAACCACAGAAGGCAAAUACAAAGCAUAGAAUUGGAGGAAGAGGAUAGAAAAAGAGAGGAAAGGAAAAAGGAAAAUAGUAAGAAAAUUAUGAAGAGCAUGAAUAAGAACAUGGGUGCCGAGGCCACGAUGAUGGUGAUGAUGCUUCUGAUUGCUACCGUCGUCGAAUCAGCUGCCUCUCCUACCGAGAAGGCGAUGAUCGAACUUGUCACCGACCACCAUGCUGCCAGUUCUUUCCCACGCAAAAUGAUGAGAAAUGGGAAAGGAAAUGGAGUUUGUCCCAUAAGGGGUUGGCCGUGCAUUCCUGCGUUCGGCUGUGGCCCUUUGUCCGGCGUUUGUGCUUGCUACACUUCUGGAUAUUGUGGAGAUUACGUCGGUUGAAGUUGCACAUUUUUUUUUGGUUUCUUUUUCGUUAGUCUUUCCUGUUUCGAUGUUUUUCCAAAAUAAAUCUCUCUUUUAUGUGAGAUUUACUAUGAUAAAUUUAUGUAACAAAAUCUUAUGUUGUUAGAUGCACAAAAAGGGAGGACGAGUACAUUAUCUUUUCUUUUCA